UGAUAAGUGUUUUAUGGCACUUUUUAAAUCCAUAUCCACCUUGUGUGCAAUGUCAGUCGGUCUUCUUCAUGGAGAUCGACCAAACAUCAACCUUUAUUUUUUAACUCUUUGUCUGAAAAAUAUUAUGAAUAAACAAUUCAAAAUA
RNAcentral lists this unclassified non-coding RNA (145 nucleotides) under soil metagenome. RNAcentral describes it as "partial internal transcribed spacer 1". The record is from RNAcentral.